UUAAGCGACUAAGCGUACACGGUGGAUGCCCUGGCAGUCAGAGGCGAUGAAGGACGUGCUAAUCUGCGAUAAGCGUCGGUAAGGUGAUAUGAACCGUUAUAACCGGCGAUUUCCGAAUGGGGAAACCCAGUGUGAUUCGUCACACUAUCAUUAACUGAAUCCAUAGGUUAAUGAGGCGAACCGGGGGAACUGAAACAUCUAAGUACCCCGAGGAAAAGAAAUCAACCGAGAUUCCCCCAGUAGCGGCGAGCGAACGGGGAGGAGCCCAGAGCCUGAAUCAGUGUGUGUGUUAGUGGAAGCGUCUGGAAAGGCGCGCGAUACAGGGUGACAGCCCCGUACACAAAAAUGCACAUGCUGUGAGCUCGAUGAGUAGGGCGGGACACGUGGUAUCCUGUCUGAAUAUGGGGGGACCAUCCUCCAAGGCUAAAUACUCCUGACUGACCGAUAGUGAACCAGUACCGUGAGGGAAAGGCGAAAAGAACCCCGGCGAGGGGAGUGAAAAAGAACCUGAAACCGUGUACGUACAAGCAGUGGGAGCCUCUUUAUGGGGUGACUGCGUACCUUUUGUAUAAUGGGUCAGCGACUUAUAUUCUGUAGCAAGGUUAACCGAAUAGGGGAGCCGAAGGGAAACCGAGUCUUAACUGGGCGUUAAGUUGCAGGGUAUAGACCCGAAACCCGGUGAUCUAGCCAUGGGCAGGUUGAAGGUUGGGUAACACUAACUGGAGGACCGAACCGACUAAUGUUGAAAAAUUAGCGGAUGACUUGUGGCUGGGGGUGAAAGGCCAAUCAAACCGGGAGAUAGCUGGUUCUCCCCGAAAGCUAUUUAGGUAGCGCCUCGUGAAUUCAUCUCCGGGGGUAGAGCACUGUUUCGGCAAGGGGGUCAUCCCGACUUACCAACCCGAUGCAAACUGCGAAUACCGGAGAAUGUUAUCACGGGAGACACACGGCGGGUGCUAACGUCCGUCGUGAAGAGGGAAACAACCCAGACCGCCAGCUAAGGUCCCAAAGUCAUGGUUAAGUGGGAAACGAUGUGGGAAGGCCCAGACAGCCAGGAUGUUGGCUUAGAAGCAGCCAUCAUUUAAAGAAAGCGUAAUAGCUCACUGGUCGAGUCGGCCUGCGCGGAAGAUGUAACGGGGCUAAACCAUGCACCGAAGCUGCGGCAGCGACGCUUAUGCGUUGUUGGGUAGGGGAGCGUUCUGUAAGCCUGUGAAGGUGUGCUGUGAGGCAUGCUGGAGGUAUCAGAAGUGCGAAUGCUGACAUAAGUAACGAUAAAGCGGGUGAAAAGCCCGCUCGCCGGAAGACCAAGGGUUCCUGUCCAACGUUAAUCGGGGCAGGGUGAGUCGACCCCUAAGGCGAGGCCGAAAGGCGUAGUCGAUGGGAAACAGGUUAAUAUUCCUGUACUUGGUGUUACUGCGAAGGGGGGACGGAGAAGGCUAUGUUGGCCGGGCGACGGUUGUCCCGGUUUAAGCGUGUAGGCUGGUUUUCCAGGCAAAUCCGGAAAAUCAAGGCUGAGGCGUGAUGACGAGGCACUACGGUGCUGAAGCAACAAAUGCCCUGCUUCCAGGAAAAGCCUCUAAGCAUCAGGUAACAUCAAAUCGUACCCCAAACCGACACAGGUGGUCAGGUAGAGAAUACCAAGGCGCUUGAGAGAACUCGGGUGAAGGAACUAGGCAAAAUGGUGCCGUAACUUCGGGAGAAGGCACGCUGAUAUGUAGGUGAAGCGACUUGCUCGUGGAGCUGAAAUCAGUCGAAGAUACCAGCUGGCUGCAACUGUUUAUUAAAAACACAGCACUGUGCAAACACGAAAGUGGACGUAUACGGUGUGACGCCUGCCCGGUGCCGGAAGGUUAAUUGAUGGGGUCAGCGCAAGCGAAGCUCUUGAUCGAAGCCCCGGUAAACGGCGGCCGUAACUAUAACGGUCCUAAGGUAGCGAAAUUCCUUGUCGGGUAAGUUCCGACCUGCACGAAUGGCGUAAUGAUGGCCAGGCUGUCUCCACCCGAGACUCAGUGAAAUUGAACUCGCUGUGAAGAUGCAGUGUACCCGCGGCAAGACGGAAAGACCCCGUGAACCUUUACUAUAGCUUGACACUGAACAUUGAGCCUUGAUGUGUAGGAUAGGUGGGAGGCUUAGAAGUGUGGACGCCAGUCUGCAUGGAGCCGACCUUGAAAUACCACCCUUUAAUGUUUGAUGUUCUAACGUUGACCCGUAAUCCGGGUUGCGGACAGUGUCUGGUGGGUAGUUUGACUGGGGCGGUCUCCUCCUAAAGAGUAACGGAGGAGCACGAAGGUUGGCUAAUCCUGGUCGGACAUCAGGAGGUUAGUGCAAUGGCAUAAGCCAGCUUGACUGCGAGCGUGACGGCGCGAGCAGGUGCGAAAGCAGGUCAUAGUGAUCCGGUGGUUCUGAAUGGAAGGGCCAUCGCUCAACGGAUAAAAGGUACUCCGGGGAUAACAGGCUGAUACCGCCCAAGAGUUCAUAUCGACGGCGGUGUUUGGCACCUCGAUGUCGGCUCAUCACAUCCUGGGGCUGAAGUAGGUCCCAAGGGUAUGGCUGUUCGCCAUUUAAAGUGGUACGCGAGCUGGGUUUAGAACGUCGUGAGACAGUUCGGUCCCUAUCUGCCGUGGGCGCUGGAGAACUGAGGGGGGCUGCUCCUAGUACGAGAGGACCGGAGUGGACGCAUCACUGGUGUUCGGGUUGUCAUGCCAAUGGCACUGCCCGGUAGCUAAAUGCGGAAGAGAUAAGUGCUGAAAGCAUCUAAGCACGAAACUUGCCCCGAGAUGAGUUCUCCCUGACCCUUUAAGGGUCCUGAAGGAACGUUGAAGACGACGACGUUGAUAGGCCGGGUGUGUAAGCGCAGCGAUGCGUUGAGCUAACCGGUACUAAUGAACCGUGAGGCUUAACCUU
This 2901-nucleotide ribosomal RNA is filed under the name Escherichia coli. Its description in RNAcentral is "bacterial LSU rRNA". It matches the Rfam family "Bacterial large subunit ribosomal RNA". The record is from RNAcentral. Lineage: Bacteria; Pseudomonadati; Pseudomonadota; Gammaproteobacteria; Enterobacterales; Enterobacteriaceae.